CGGUGAGAGCGGCGGACGGGUGAGUAACGCGUGGGUAACCUACCCUGUACACACGGAUAACAUACCGAAAGGUAUGCUAAUACGGGAUAAUAUAUUUGAGAGGCAUCUCUUGAAUAUCAAAGGUGAGCCAGUACAGGAUGGACCCGCGUCUGAUUAGCUAGUUGGUAAGGUAACGGCUUACCAAGGCGACGAUCAGUAGCCGACCUGAGAGGGUGAUCGGCCACAUUGGAACUGAGACACGGUCCAAACUCCUACGGGAGGCAGCAGUGGGGAAUAUUGCACAAUGGGCGAAAGCCUGAUGCGGCAACGCCGCGUGAGUGAUGAAGGCCUUCGGGUCGUAAAACUCUGUCCUCAAGGAAGAUAAUGACGGUACUUGAGGAGGAAGCCCCGGCUAACUACGUGCCAGCAGCCGCGGUAAUACGUAGGGGGCUAGCGUUAUCCGGAUUUACUGGGCGUAAAGGGUGCGUAGGCGGUCUUUCAAGUCAGGAGUGAAAGGCUACGGCUCAACCGUAGUAAGCUCUUGAAAC
RNAcentral lists this ribosomal RNA (527 nucleotides) under uncultured bacterium. RNAcentral describes it as "bacterial SSU rRNA". It matches the Rfam family "Bacterial small subunit ribosomal RNA", at positions 87 to 633 of the family's 1533-position model. The record is from RNAcentral.